UUUUUUUUUUUUUUUUUUUUUUUUGUGUUGGGCAUUAGAUUUGCGAUCUGGGUCCAAUGUUUGAAUCCAAUUAUUGGAUUAUUUCAGUUACUCUGCUCUGUCCUUUCUGCACAAUCGUCUGAAUUCUUGUAUUGAAAGUGUGCUGCAGUUAAUCUUCCAGGAUAGUCUUACUGAACAGGGAAAUUGAGUGAAUUGAUGUUUUCCCAUUUUUCUCUACCUCCUUUUAGAUCCCAAGCAAAGGUGAGACAGCAAAAUGGAAAUCAAAAUCCUGGAGUCUGCAGAUUAGAGAUAGAGGUAUCAAUCUCUUGCAGUCCCUGAACACUUGCUUCAGCAAGCUCCUAUCAAUAACCAAUUCGUUCUGUAGGAUAUUGCAAGAUGCUUUUUAUUACCUCUGUUGACAGCCAGUUCCUACUCUCCAUGCAUGCAAGAAGAUUUAUGGGCCCUGAGAUGUCACCUUGCCUCCCCUUUGAGCUUGCAUCCUUGGAUGAAAUCUGGAGCUUCUUGUAGACCUUCUUCCUUGCAUAUUUGUUUCAUUUCAUGCUGAAUUGACUGAAUUCUUGCUCUGGACUUUGCCUUGAUGUGACCAAAUUUUAUCUUCAGUAUAUAAAGUUGCAGUAAACCUAUUUCCUGUUUUGUUGAAAUUCUUUAAUUUAGUACAUUUUAAUGUAUCUGUCCAUGGUUUUUUUCUUGUGUAUAUAAUAUCAAAUAGGAAAGAAAAUUCAGGAUGAUUUGAAGGAAUGAUUCAGGAUGAUUUAUCAGCACUAACAUGGGAAUAGUUCUGUUAUUUUUGGGCAAGGGCCAGUAAAUGAGUUAUUUGGGACAUGAUAAGUGAAGCGGAAACUAUUCUAAGAAACUUCGUUAUCAUGUAUAACCCACACAAAUUACUGUAUAUGUGCAGAGGAAUACUUUCAAGAAUUUUAAAUUCUUACUAAAGACUAGAAUGAAUUCAAAAUAUAAAUAUAAGUUUAUUACAACAAUCCUAUUGAUUGAAGAAGGUGAUGGUUUCUAGAGCAGUUUAGAUGUGAUGAAUUCUUACCAAAGGAAGACAGGCUCCAGGAGAUGCUUGUCUAGAUGGGGUUACUGGCUGACUCCCUUGAGGACCAGACCUCUAUCUCCAGUACAGUUUGUCUGUUGUGAGGUCACCACUUCCAGAGCCCAUGGGCCUGAGGCAGUUGAUGUUCCAGCUAGGGUGACUCCAAAGUCAGGGAUUUCUGUUCCCUUUCUCACCUGUUUGCUCAUUCCCAGCCUUUGUCUGAGCACCCCAGGUGCAGCCCAGUUAGGCACACUGUCACUGCAUCUCCAGCAGCAGUGUGCUAUUUUGCUGAGCAGGCAUAAGAGGAAUCAAAGAGUGCUUGUAUUUUUCACAGAACAGCAUUCUAGGCCGGGGUUGAUUUAUAAUGACUUUUAUAAAGAUCAGGUUUGGUCAAGAAAGAAAACAAAUGCACUUUAAACGCGCAGGCAGGACCCACAAACUUUGGUGGGACAUGAUUUUUGUCAUUUCUAGCGGGGCCUCUUCCAUGUUGUGCAACUGGGAUCACUGGCACACCUUGGCCCUUUGCUCCAGGGACCCCUUGGAGCUGUGAUGAAACACACAUGUUGCCUCUGACUUGAGGAUCCUCUUUUUCUGAGACUGGAUUAUUUAGCUUGGUGUAAUUGGAGCUUGGAAAACUUCUCUGGUGGUAUAGAGGACUUCCUUUCAGUCGUCCAGAAAUACCAGCAGCCAGACUUACUCAUGUGAUGGCCUUGGUUUUGUAAGAGUACAGUUACUCUUCCUACUUUUCACCAUGCUGGCUUGCCCAGUGCCUCCAACCAUAUCUUUUUUAUUCUGCAAAGUGGAAGAAAAUAGCAUCUUCCUGUGAGAUGCUCAGUCAGAAUAAGUAGUUCAUUUGAAGCUCACUGGUGAUCAGGAAUGUUGAGAGAAAAUCUGGUGGAGGGAUUAAUUGUGGUUUUGGGGAUGGGAUAUAUGUGAUCAUAAUUGUGAUCUGAUCCUUGAAAGAACGUAGAAAAAGCGGGGCUUGGUUCAGGUUUCUUGUAUCUAAUUCUUCACUGCUGAUAGUGGGUCUAAGCAAUUUGCUGGAUAAGAUCUUAGGUUCAUAACAGCCAAUUUUGUAGACACAAU
Long non-coding RNA from Taeniopygia guttata (zebra finch), 2119 nucleotides. NCBI's taxonomy places the organism in Eukaryota, Metazoa, Chordata, Aves, Passeriformes, Estrildidae. The record is from Ensembl.